GACGAACGCUGGCGGCGUGCUUAACACAUGCAAGUCGAGCGGUAAGGCCCUUUCGGGGGGUACACGAGCGGCGAACGGGUGAGUAACACGUGGGUGACCUGCCCUCAGCUCUGGGAUAAGCCUGGGAAACCGGGUCUAAUACCGGAUAUGACUCCAUGACGCAUGUUGUGGGGUGGAAAGCCUUGUGCGGCUGAGGAUGGGCCCGCGGCCUAUCAGCUUGUUGGUGGGGUGAUGGCCUACCAAGGCGACGACGGGUAGCCGGCCUGAGAGGGCGACCGGCCACACUGGGACUGAGACACGGCCCAGACUCCUACGGGAGGCAGCAGUGGGGAAUCUUGCGCAAUGGGCGAAAGCCUGACGCAGCGACGCCGCGUGAGGGA
Molecule: ribosomal RNA, 380 nt
Filed under: uncultured bacterium
Lineage: Bacteria
Description: bacterial SSU rRNA
Rfam family: Bacterial small subunit ribosomal RNA
Source: RNAcentral